CGGCUGGANCUUGCUCCGGCCGUGAGAGUGGCGAACGGGUGANUAAUGCGUGACCGACCUGCCCCAUACACCGGAAUANCUCCUGGAAACGGGUGGNAAUGCCGGAUGCUCCGACAUGACGCAUGUCGUGUCGGGAAAGAUUCAUCGGUAUGGGAUGGGGUCGCGUCCUAUCAGCUUGAUGGCGGGGUAACGGCCCNCCNUGGCUUCNACGGGUAGCCGGCCUGAGAGGGCGACCGGCCACAUUGGGACUGANAUACGGCCCANACUCCUACGGGAGGCAGCAGUGGGGAAUAUUGCACNNUGGGCGCAAGCCUGAUGCAGCGACGCCGCGUGCGGGAUGACGGCCUUCGGGUUGUAAACCGCUUUUGACUGGGAGCAAGCCCUUCGGGGUGAGUGUACCUUUCNAAUAANCACCGGCUAACUACGUGCCANCAGCCGCGGUAAUACGUAGGGUGCAAGCGUUAUCCGGAAUUAUUGGGCGUAAAGGGCUCGUANGCGGUUCGUCGCGUCCGGUGUGAAAGUCCAUCGCUUAACGGUGGAUCCGCGCCGGGUACGGGCGGGCUUGAGUGCGGUAGGGGAGACUGGAAUUCCCGGUGUAACGGUGGAAUGUGUANAUAUCGGGAANAACACNNNUGGCNAANGCAGGUCUCUGGGCCGUCACUGACNCUGANGAGCGAAAGCGUGNNGAGCGAACANGAUUANAUACNCUGGUANUCCACGCCGUANACGGUGGAUGCUGNAUGUGGGGACCAUUCCACGGUCUCCGUGUCNGANCCNACGCGUUAANCAUCCCGCCUGGGGAGUACGGCCGCAAGGCUAAACUCAAAGAAAUUGACGGGGGCCC
This 844-nucleotide ribosomal RNA is filed under the name Bifidobacterium adolescentis. RNAcentral describes it as "partial 16S ribosomal RNA". It matches the Rfam family "Bacterial small subunit ribosomal RNA", at positions 70 to 922 of the family's 1533-position model. Lineage: Bacteria; Bacillati; Actinomycetota; Actinomycetes; Bifidobacteriales; Bifidobacteriaceae. The record is from RNAcentral.